RNAcentral lists this ribosomal RNA (863 nucleotides) under Pyropyga decipiens. RNAcentral's name for it is "SSU rRNA". It matches the Rfam family "Eukaryotic small subunit ribosomal RNA", at positions 448 to 1284 of the family's 1831-position model. Lineage: Eukaryota; Metazoa; Arthropoda; Insecta; Coleoptera; Lampyridae. The record is from RNAcentral.
CUCCCGGCACGGGGAGGUAGUGACGAAAAAUAACGAUACGGGACUCAUCCGAGGCCCCGUGAUCGGAAUGAGCACACUUUAAAUCCUUUAACGAGGAUCAAUUGGAGGGCAAGUCUGGUGCCAGCAGCCGCGGUAAUUCCAGCUCCAAUAGCGUAUAUUAAAGUUGCUGCGGUUAAAAAGCUCGUAGUCGAAAUUGUGUCCUCGGCCGCCGGUUCGUCGCUCGCGACGCCAACUGGCGCGCACGUUGGACGUCCAGCCGGUACAACGAACUCGCCUACGGGGUGCUCUUAACCGAGUGUCUAGGCGGGGGCCGGCAACGUUACUUUGAACAAAUUAAAGUGCUUAAAGCAGGCUAAAUUGCGCUCGCAUACACGCGCAUGGAAUAAUCGAAUAGGACCUCCGUUCUAUUUUGUUGGGUUUUUGUGGAACGACAGACGGAGGUAAUGAUCAAUGGGUGCGGAUGGGGGCAUUCGUAUUGCGACGUUAGAGGUGAAAUUCUUGGAUCGUCGCAAGACGGACUUGAGCGAAAGCAUUUGCCAAAAACGCUUUCAUCGAUCAAGAACGAAAGUUAGAGGUUCGAAGGCGAUCAGAUACCGCCCUAGUUCUAACCAUAAACUAUGCCAGCUAGCGAUCCGCCGAAGUUACUUCUAUGACUCGGCGGGCAGCUUCCGGGAAACCAAAGCUUUCGGGUUCCGGGGGAAGUAUGGUUGCAAAGCUGAAACUUAAAGGAAUUGACGGAAGGGCACCACCAGGAGUGGAGCCUGCGGCUUAAUUUGACUCAACACGGGAAACCUCACCAGGCCCGGACACCGGAAGGAUUGACAGAUUGAGAGCUCUUUCUUGAUUCGGUGGGUGGUGGUGCA